Molecule: ribosomal RNA, 258 nt
Filed under: uncultured bacterium
Lineage: Bacteria
Description: partial 16S ribosomal RNA
Source: RNAcentral
CUGCUGCCUCCCGUAGGAGUCUGGCCGUGUCUCAGUCCCAAUGUGGCCGUCCGCCCUCUCAGGCCGGCUACUGAUCGUCGCCUUGGUGGGCCGUUACCCCGCCAACUGGCUAAUCAGACGCGGAUCCAUCGUAUACCGCCGGAGCCUUUCACACUGUCCCAUGCGGGACCGUGCGCUUAUGCGGUAUUAGCACCUGUUUCCAGGUGUUAUCCCCCUGUAUACGGCAGGUUAUCCACGCGUUACUCACCCGUCCGCCAA